RNAcentral lists this long non-coding RNA (280 nucleotides) under Mytilus galloprovincialis (Mediterranean mussel). The record is from RNAcentral. Lineage: Eukaryota; Metazoa; Mollusca; Bivalvia; Mytilida; Mytilidae.
AUAAAAAUCACCUUCGAUUGCAAGUGAAGACUCUUAAUUAAUUAGUAAUGACAGCAAGUGGUUUUAAAAUCUAAACCAGCGAUUGCGAUACGAUAUUUUUUCUCUUAAAGCAGUAAAGAGAUUAAAUUAAAUGGUUGCAAUCCGUACAAAAAAAAAUCACAGAUCGCUCUUUAUGUACUUUAGUAAAUGUUUAUAACAAUAUUAUGACCUUUUUUUUUUUUAAAGAAAUGACCAAGUUUUAUUGCAAUGCCUUUUAUACUUUUUUUCCCAAAUAAAAUUU